AUGGAGAGUUUGAUCCUGGCUCAGGACCAACGCUGGCGGCGUGCCUAAUGCAUGCAAGUCGCACGGACCCUUCGGGGUCAGUGGCAAACGGGUGCGGAACACGUGGGUGACCUGCCGUCCACUGGGGGAUACCCACUCGAAAGGGUGGCUAAGACCGCAUACGCUCCGGCUGGUGACGCCCAGCGGGAGGAAAGCUCCGGCGGUGGACGAGGGGCCCGCGGCCGAUUAGCUGGUUGGUAGGGUAACGGCCUACCAAGGCGACGAUCGGUAGCCGGUCUGAGAGGACGGCCGGCCACACGGGGACUGAGAGACGGCCCCGACUCCUACGGGAGGCAGCAGCAAGGAAUCUUGGGCAAUGGGCGCAAGCCUGACCCAGCGACGCCGCGUGGGGGAUGACGGCCUUCGGGUUGUAAACCCCUUUUGGCGGGGACGAAACUGACGGUACCCGCCGAAGAAGCCCCGGCUAACUACGUGCCAGCAGCCGCGGUAAGACGUAGGGGGCAAGCGUUGUCCGGAAUUACUGGGCGUAAAGCGCCCGUAGGCGGCCCGUCGUGCUGGGCGUGAAAUCCCCGAGCUUACCUCGGGGGGGUCGUCCAGGACCGGCGGGCUCGGGUCGAGCAGAGGCGCGUGGAAUUCCCGGUGGAGCGGUGAAAUGCGUAGAGAUCGGGAGGAACACCAGUGGCGAAGGCGACGCGCUGGGCUUGGACCGACGCUGAGGGGCGAAAGCGUGGGGAGCGAACCGGAUUAGAUACCCGGGUAGUCCACGCCCUAAACGAUGGGUACUCGGCGUGGGGGGUAUCGACCCCCUCCGUGCCUCAGCUAACGCGUGAAGUACCCCGCCUGGGGAGUACGGCCGCAAGGUUGAAACUCAAAGGAAUUGACGGGGGCCCGCACAAGCAGCGGAGCGUGUGGUUUAAUUCGAUGCAACGCGCAGAACCUUACCAGGGCUGGACCUGCCGCUGACAGCCGGGGAAACCCGGUGGCCGCAAGGUGUGCGGCACAGGUGCUGCAUGGCUGUCGUCAGCUCGUGCCGUGAGGUGUCGGGUUAAGUCCCGCAACGAGCGCAACCCCUGCGCCUAGUUGAGUGUCUAGGCGGACUGCCCCCGCAAGGGGGAGGAAGGCGGGGAUGACGUCAAGUCCGCAUGGCCCUGAUGCCCUGGGCGACACACACGCUACAAUGGGCGCGACAGAGGGCUGCGAAGCCGCAAGGUGGAGCCAAUCCCACAAAGGCGCCCUCAGUGGGGAUUGCAGGCUGCAACCCGCCUGCAUGAACGCGGAGUUGCUAGUAACCGCCGGUCAGCACUACGGCGGUGAAUACGUUCUCGGGCCUUGUACACACCGCCCGUCACGUCACGAAAGCCGGCAACACCUGAAGUCGCUGGGCUAACCCCAGUCGGGGAGGCAGGCGCCGAGGGUGGGGCUGGUGAUUGGGACGAAGUCGUAACAAGGUAGCCGUAGCGGAAGCUGCGGCUGGAUCACCUCCUUU
RNAcentral lists this ribosomal RNA (1486 nucleotides) under Dehalococcoidia bacterium. RNAcentral's name for it is "bacterial SSU rRNA". It matches the Rfam family "Bacterial small subunit ribosomal RNA". The record is from RNAcentral. Lineage: Bacteria; Bacillati; Chloroflexota; Dehalococcoidia.